Melanotaenia boesemani (Boeseman's rainbowfish) is the source of this 92-nucleotide small nucleolar RNA. RefSeq annotates it as small nucleolar SNORD12/SNORD106. The record is from RefSeq and is a predicted model, not a curated record. The transcript has a single exon. NCBI's taxonomy places the organism in Eukaryota, Metazoa, Chordata, Actinopteri, Atheriniformes, Melanotaeniidae.
UCAGUGGUUUAUGAUGCAUGCUCUUUCCCCGACUUAUCGACCAUGGUGAAACAGAUUUAUAUCUUAAGCCAAUUAUUUUCUGAAACCACUGU